AGAGUUUGAUCAUGGCUCAGGAUAAACGCUGGCGGCGUGCCUAACACAUGCAAGUCGAACGCUCUCGGGCAACCGAGGGAGUGGCGGACGGGUGAGUAACACGUGGGGAUCUGCCCUGGGGUGAGGAAUACCACCGGGAAACCGGUGACAAGACCGCAUAGGCUUCGAAAGAAGCAAAGUCGCAAGACGCCCGAGGAUGA
Molecule: ribosomal RNA, 200 nt
Filed under: uncultured bacterium
Lineage: Bacteria
Description: partial 16S ribosomal RNA
Rfam family: Bacterial small subunit ribosomal RNA
Source: RNAcentral